CUUGAACGCUGGCGGCAUGCUUUACACAUGCAAGUCGAACGGUAACAGGUUAAGCUGACGAGUGGCGAACGGGUGAGUAAUGCAUCGGAACGUGCCCGGUCGUGGGGGAUAACGCAGCGAAAGCUGCGCUAAUACCGCAUACGAUCUGAGGAUGAAAGCGGGGGACCGUAAGGCCUCGCGCGAUCGGAGCGGCCGAUGUCAGAUUAGGUAGUUGGUGGGGUAAAGGCUCACCAAGCCAACGAUCUGUAGCUGGUCUGAGAGGACGACCAGCCACACUGGGACUGAGACACGGCCCAGACUCCUACGGGAGGCAGCAGUGGGGAAUUUUGGACAAUGGGCGAAAGCCUGAUCCAGCAAUGCCGCGAGCAGGAAGAAGGCCUUCGGGUUGUAAACUGCUUUUGUACGGAGCGAAAAGGUCUCCUCUAAUACAGGGGGCUCAUGACGGUACCGUAAGAAUAAGCACCGGCUAACUACGUGCCAGCAGCCGCAGUAA
This 493-nucleotide ribosomal RNA is filed under the name uncultured bacterium. RNAcentral describes it as "partial 16S ribosomal RNA". It matches the Rfam family "Bacterial small subunit ribosomal RNA", at positions 29 to 523 of the family's 1533-position model. The record is from RNAcentral.